This 79-nucleotide small nuclear RNA is filed under the name Tetrahymena thermophila. The record is from RNAcentral. Lineage: Eukaryota; Ciliophora; Oligohymenophorea; Hymenostomatida; Tetrahymenidae.
AAAUUGAAACGAUACAGAGAAGAUUAGCAUGGCCCCUGCACAAGGAUGACACGCUCAAAGCAGAAGGAUUCCCCAUUUU